RNAcentral lists this ribosomal RNA (397 nucleotides) under uncultured bacterium. RNAcentral describes it as "partial 16S ribosomal RNA". It matches the Rfam family "Bacterial small subunit ribosomal RNA", at positions 523 to 918 of the family's 1533-position model. The record is from RNAcentral.
AUACGUAGGUGACAAGCGUUAUCCGGAUUUACUGGGCGUAUAGGGCGUGUAGGCGGUCUUGCAAGUCAGAAGUGAAAUUCCUGAGCUCAACUCGGGCGCUGCUUCUGAAACUGCAGGACUUGAGUGCUGGAGGGGAUAGCGGAAUUCCUAGUGGAGCGGUAAAAUGCGCAGAUAUUAGGAAGAACACCGGUGGCGAAGGCGGCUAUCUGGACAGUAACGGACGCUGAGGGGCGAAAGCGUGGGGAGCAAACAGGAUUAGAUACCCGGGUAGUCCACGCCGUAAACGAUGAAUACUAGGUGUAGGGGGUAUCGACUCCCUCUGUGCCUCAGUUAACACAAUAAGUAUUCCGCCUGGGGAGUACGGCCGCAAGGUUGAAACUCAAAGGAAUUGACGGGG